Molecule: ribosomal RNA, 494 nt
Filed under: uncultured bacterium
Lineage: Bacteria
Description: partial 16S ribosomal RNA
Rfam family: Bacterial small subunit ribosomal RNA
Source: RNAcentral
GACGAACGCUGGCGGCGUGCUUAACACAUGCAAGUCGAACGGUGAAGCGCCUUCCUUUUUGGUGGGUGUGGAUGAGUGGCGAACGGGUGAGUAACACGUGAGUAACCUGCCCCCUUCUUCUGGAUAACCGCAUGAAAGUGUGGCUAAUACGGGAUAUUCUGGGUCUGUCGCAUGAUGGGUCUGGGAAAGAUAUUGUUUCGGUGGGGGAUGGGCUCGCGGCCUAUCAGCUUGUUGGUGGGGUGAUGGCCUACCAAGGCGGUGACGGGUAGCCGGCCUGAGAGGGUGGACGGUCACACUGGGAAUGAGACACGGCCCAGACUCCUACGGGAGGCAGCAGUGGGGAAUAUUGCACAAUGGGCGCAAGCCUGAUGCAGCGACGCCGCGGGAGGGAUGGAGGCCUUCGGGUUGUGAACCUCUUUCGCCAGUGAAGCAGGCCUGCCUCGUUUGUGGGUGGGUUGACGGUAGCUGGAUAAGAAGCGCCGGCUAACUACGUG